RNAcentral lists this long non-coding RNA (1179 nucleotides) under Numida meleagris (helmeted guineafowl). RNAcentral describes it as "lncRNA (ENSNMEG00000017180.1)". Lineage: Eukaryota; Metazoa; Chordata; Aves; Galliformes; Numididae. The record is from RNAcentral.
ACACACUAGCAUCCAGCAUUUCAGAUCUUGUCCUGUCAAAAUGCACAUCAGCCAGGGAUUUCAAACGACUUUUUCUUUUUUUCUUGAUUUUUUAGCUUCAAUGACAUCUGCUGUAUCCGUAGCUUAGUCAUCAUUUCUGCAGGCAUUCUAUGGGUAGGAAGUACGCUGCAGAAAAAAGUGAAUUCAAAUGAGUCGUACCAGCUUCUGGAGCAGGAAUUGGCAUGUUGGAUACAUGGAGAGGAAAGUGCUUUAAGCAGCUAUGUAAGGCAGGCACUCACAUGUGUUCAUCUUUCUUCCCGACAGAUGUAACUGAGAGAACAGCAGUGACACUCCAACAUCCCCUGUGUGCUGGUGCCCACGACCCGCAGUCAGCAUUGCAGGGUCCUGGGGAGGGCUCCGGGUGAGAACCCCUGGUGCCUUCCCCACAGAUGCCAAAGGACAGGACAGUGAUUUCCCUGCUGGGGGAGUAAGGGAGAAAAACAGCUGCCUGGCCGAGGAUGCAGAACAGCAAUAAAGCUCCAUUUCCUGUCCCCAUGCUCCGGCUACUUCUGGAACCAGUGGAGUGACUUCAUGCAAGGAACCCACCAGAAUUUGAUGUUGGACACUGCCGAGCUCAGCCUGCUCCGUGAAGUACAUAGUGCUGCUUGGGAUGCAGCCCUGCUGCAAUGGCACCACGAGUUUGGGUACCUGCCUGUGCUUCCCCACCAGAAAGGACAUCAGAAACCAGAAAGAAUGGCAUCAGCUUCAACUUUGGGCCAGCAUGUUUGAGGUUUGAAGAACUUGAACUUGGAGAGAGAAAUGUUAGAUGUGAUAAGUGAAGGUUUUUUUAUGAGACUAUUGUCAUAGAAUCAUACAAUCACAGAAUGGCUUGGGUUGGAAGGGACCCCAAGGAUCAUCAAGUUCCAACCCCCCUGCUGCAGGCAGGGCCACCAGCCUCCACAUCUAAUACCAGACCAGGCUGCCCAGGGCCCCAUCCCACCUGGCCUUGAACACCUCCAGGGAUGAAGCAUCCUCAGCCUCUCUGGGCAGCCUGUGCCAGCACCUCAGCACUCUCUCUGUGAAGAACUUCCCCCUGACAUCCAAACUAAACCUUCCUUCCUUGAGCUUAAAACCAUUCCCCCUUGUCCUAUCCCUGUCUACCUGAAUAAAAUUACAUUCUUCUUUUCCUGAAGAUAUUUC